This is a long non-coding RNA of Corapipo altera (White-ruffed manakin), 482 nucleotides long. RefSeq lists it as uncharacterized. NCBI's taxonomy places the organism in Eukaryota, Metazoa, Chordata, Aves, Passeriformes, Pipridae. The record is from RefSeq and is a predicted model, not a curated record. The transcript has 3 exons.
GAAGCCCCAUUUUGCUCACUCCUUGCUGCAGUGCAGUGAUGAAGCUUUCAGGCUGUUUUGUUAUUCUCCUAAUGAACGGCAAUCCUGAUCCUUCACCAGAGGAUCUGCUGCUAUUCUGCAGGCUAAAAGUGCUCCGGACCGCCUCACCAUGGGCACAGUGUCUGCACCGUAAAGCAGCCCCAGUCUCUCCCUUCCCGUGGCUCAUCAGAAAAAAAAAAAAUUAGUUUUCAAAAGGAGCGGUAACCUUUCUUCCUAGUAUCCUUCUCAGACAGAGGCAAGUAAGAAAGAGGAGGCAUGUGAGUUCUACAUGUUGGUGUCCCUGGACCUACAUCUCAGCCAAUCCCUGUCCUGAGGGACCUGGGCGUGGAUCCCAAGCUUGUCAGAGAAUCACACCAGGCUCUCUCCUACCUGACAUCCUGGUUCUUCUAGACACCAUCUUGCACUGGUAGGGCAUGGCUGGAUGUCAUGGAGCAGGCCUUCAA